GACGUAGGGUGCAAGCGUUGUCCGGAAUUAUUGGGCGUAAAGCGCGUGUAGGCGGCUUUGCAAGUCGGGUGUGAAAUCCCUCAGCUCAACUGAGGAAGUGCGCCCGAAACUGCAGAGCUUGAGUACCGGAGAGGAUGGCGGAAUUCCCCAAGUAGAGGUGAAAUUCGUAGAUAUGGGGAGGAACACCGGUGGCGAAGGCGGCCAUCUGGACGGAUACUGACGCUGAGACGCGAAAGCGUGGGGAGCAAACAGG
This 253-nucleotide ribosomal RNA is filed under the name uncultured bacterium. RNAcentral describes it as "partial 16S ribosomal RNA". It matches the Rfam family "Bacterial small subunit ribosomal RNA", at positions 524 to 776 of the family's 1533-position model. The record is from RNAcentral.